This 488-nucleotide ribosomal RNA is filed under the name uncultured bacterium. RNAcentral's name for it is "bacterial SSU rRNA". It matches the Rfam family "Bacterial small subunit ribosomal RNA", at positions 28 to 517 of the family's 1533-position model. The record is from RNAcentral.
GAUGAACGCUAGCGGGAGGCCUAAUACAUGCAAGUCGAGCGGUAGUCAUACUUCGGUGUGAUGAGAGCGGCGCACGGGUGAGUAACGCGUACAUGACCUACCUUUAAGACUGGGAUAGCCCUGGGAAACUGGGAUUAAUACCGGAUGUGAUAAUAAGUAUAAAGAUUUAUUAUUAAAGUUGAGGCGCUUAGAGAUGGGUGUGCGUAUGAUUAGCUAGUUGGUAGGGUAACGGCCUACCAAGGCGACGAUCAUUAGGGGGCGUGAGAGCGUGGCCCCCCACACGGGUACUGAGACACGGACCCGACUCCUACGGGAGGCAGCAGUAAGGAAUAUUGGUCAAUGGACGGAAGUCUGAACCAGCCAUCCCGCGUGCAGGAUGAAGGUCCUAUGGAUUGUAAACUGCUUUUAGCAGAGACGAAACGCUUCCAUUGAUGGGAGUCUGACGGUAUCUGCAGAAUAAGCACCGGCUAACUCCGUGCCAGCAGCCG